UGGGGAAUAUUGCACAAUGGGCGCAAGCCUGAUGCAGCCAUGCCGCGUGUGUGAAGAAGGCCUUCGGGUUGUAAAGCACUUUCAGCGGGGAGGAAGGCGUUAAGGUUAAUAACCUUGGCGAUUGACGUUACCCGCAGAAGAAGCACCGGCUAACUCCGUGCCAGCAGCCGCGGUAAUACGGAGGGUGCAAGCGUUAAUCGGAAUUACUGGGCGUAAAGCGCACGCAGGCGGUCUGUCAAGUCGGAUGUGAAAUCCCUGGGCUCAACCUGGGAACUGCGUUCGAAACUGGCAGGCUAGAGUCUUGUAGAGGGGGGUAGAAUUCCAGGUGUAGCGGUGAAAUGCGUAGAGAUCUGGAGGAAUACCGGUGGCGAAGGCGGCCCCCUGGACGAAGACUGACGCUCAGGUGCGAAAGCGUGGGGAGCAAACAGG
Molecule: ribosomal RNA, 429 nt
Filed under: Chloroflexota bacterium
Lineage: Bacteria; Bacillati; Chloroflexota
Description: Chloroflexi bacterium partial 16S ribosomal RNA
Rfam family: Bacterial small subunit ribosomal RNA
Source: RNAcentral